Molecule: long non-coding RNA, 393 nt
Organism: Cavia porcellus (domestic guinea pig)
Lineage: Eukaryota; Metazoa; Chordata; Mammalia; Rodentia; Caviidae
Source: Ensembl
AGAAAGUUUAGCUAAUAGGUUUUGAGUCAGUUUAUGUUAUUUAAAGCCUAUGUGAUGUGUUUUCUUAUAAUGUACUGUUAGCUGAUGUUGUUUUUUCACUCCUCAGUUGCUAGCUUGCAGAGAAGAAGAACGAGAUGACAAGACAACGAUAAAAUGUGAAACUUCCCCUCUCUCCUCUCCGAAGUCCCUUCAGCUAGACAGGCUGCACACAGGGGCGUUGCAAAUAGUCAGCCACGAGGACAUCAGGGACAUGCAAAAAUCAAAAAGUGCCCAGGAUGGUCCUGUGAGCAAUCCCAGUAGCAGUGACAGCAGGCAGGACUCGCCCCACAAAGCCCCAAAGAAGAAGGGCAUCAAGUCCUCCACUGGUCGUUUGUUGGGCAAAAAGGAAAAGGG